This 484-nucleotide ribosomal RNA is filed under the name uncultured bacterium. Its description in RNAcentral is "partial 16S ribosomal RNA". It matches the Rfam family "Bacterial small subunit ribosomal RNA", at positions 28 to 523 of the family's 1533-position model. The record is from RNAcentral.
GACGAACGCUGGCGGCGUGCUUAACACAUGCAAGUCGAACGGUGACGAUCAAGCUUGCUUGGUCUGAUCAGUGGCGAACGGGUGAGUAACACGUGAGAAACCUGCCCCAGACUCUGGAAUAACCCCGGGAAACCGGAGCUAAUACCGGAUACGACACCAGCCCGCAUGGGCCUGGUGUGGAAAGUUUUUCGGUCUGGGAUGGCCUCGCGGCCUAUCAGCUUGUUGGUGAGGUAGUGGCUCACCAAGGCGAAGACGGGUAGCCGGCCUGAGAGGGCGACCGGCCACACUGGGACUGAGACACGGCCCAGACUCCUACGGGAGGCAGCAGUGGGGAAUAUUGCACAAUGGGCGAAAGCCUGAUGCAGCGACGCCGCGUGAGGGAUGACGGCCUUCGGGUUGUAAACCUCUUUCAGCAGGGAAGAAGCGCAAGUGACGGUACCUGCAGAAGAAGCACCGGCUAACUACGUGCCAGCCGCCGCAGUAA